CCACACAAAUCCACAACGACCAAGCAUUAAUAUACGACCAGUCAGACUAGCCAAGACAAGCAACACCCUGCUAGACGACACAACACACCCCACAAACAUCUCAAACGAUAGCCUCAAGUAAAAAAGCCAUCAAUAUUCAAGACGAUACUUGAGAACCACAACCACACCAUCACCACCACCACCAUCACCACCACCACAUUAUGAGCAUCUGCCUGAACCCCCCCAACCUCAACACCUCUGCAUCUCACAACCACAACCAGAUCUCGCUCGACAUGUCGCUGUCCAUGGACUUUUUGAAACUGAUGCUGGAGGACAAGAAGCGACGCGGCGCGUUGAAGAGAGACACCAAGGGAGUCAAGAAGGCGAAGAAGAGUGUGCGAUUUGUGGUCUAGAAGACGAGCACAAAGUCCGAGUGUCGCACGACAUGAAACCCACAUACAGCAUCACCUCACCAUCCCCUACAUCCACUCUAUUUCUCAGCAUCACCUCGUUUCAUAUGACCACUACGCAUGGCCUCAUUCAUCAAUGAACAUCCAUCACGUGAUCUGCGGCACGUGACUGCCGCCCCUCCCCACUCAUCUUGCAUACUAAAUCUAUUUAUUUAUCGUA
Molecule: unclassified non-coding RNA, 609 nt
Filed under: Yarrowia lipolytica
Lineage: Eukaryota; Fungi; Ascomycota; Dipodascomycetes; Dipodascales
Source: RNAcentral